CCUAGUAUGGCAGAAAAUAGUGCCUUGAUCUUAAACUUCAAAAAUAAAUAAUUUUUACUAGAA
RNAcentral lists this transfer RNA (63 nucleotides) under Asiopsocus sonorensis. Its description in RNAcentral is "tRNA-Leu". The record is from RNAcentral. Lineage: Eukaryota; Metazoa; Arthropoda; Insecta; Psocodea; Asiopsocidae.